UUUAGGACCCAUAUUUCAAAUGCGGCUCAAUAUCAAGUCACGUCUCACUAACUCCAAAGCUAAAAAAGUUGAAGCUAUCAAAUAUGAACACCCUCACGUACAUAUAUUUUUCAGAGUCUUCGCACGCAGUAUGUGAAAACAAAAGGGUGUUAAUUAAGUGAUGUUAAAAGUACAACAAUUUGCUUGUAAUUUUUCUCAGAAAUGGACUGUUCUUACGCUAUAAAUUAUUGGUCACCCUUACACGGCUAUCAAAAUAAUUGGGGGGGUGUAACUUUUGGAAAAAUCAAAAGGUGAAAAUAUCCUUUGGAUUUUUUCUUUUAACUUUUUUAAUUUCUUUUCCAACAUCCCAUUGUGAGAUUAUUAAAAUAUGGUGAUGUGAAUUUACUCAUGAUUGAACUGGCCGCUAAUUGAAGUAAUUUGCUUUUUAAAAGUUUUAUAUUUGCAUCUUUUUGCAGUAUACGCCACUUCCUAGUUGCCGUUAGUUGUGACAAUGGAGUCAAAACUAAGAAGAAAAUUUAAAUAAAGAUAGUAGCAUUAAAAAAAAAAAAAAAACCCAAAAGAUAAUCAAUCUAGAAAGUAGAAAAGAGGGAUUUUUUUUUUUUUUUUUGGUUCAAAAGCAAAAAGUGAAUAUUCACAUUCAGGAUUUCUGAGCCGUUUGCCAUGUAAAAUAUAAAAGUCUGAUGUUGCAACUCAAGUUUGUAGCAGCAGUCUCAUUACAAGUUUUAAGUUUUAGGUUACAAAUUUGAUGUAUAUCAUUAAAUAUUACGUCAGGCAUAACUUUUCAAAGGGACACCACAGUCAUUCCCUCUUAUUAAUAUGAUCUUUUUUUUUAAAGGAGAUUAUAAAAGACGUGUAAGUAAUAAAUAAAUAAAUAAAACUCUAUUCUAUUUUUUUUUUAAAAAAAUAGUUUUAUAAAUGCAUGCACCAACUUUAAUUUAAAGAGCACAGCCAAAAUAUUGAUAAUUAGAAAUUUGACUCCAUAAGUGGCUUUUUGUUACAAUGCAUUCGGUAACCUUUUGUGACUUUUUGAGUUGAAAAUGAAGUUGAGGGAACUCAAAAGAGUUCAUGCACUUCAAAAUUAUGAACUUUGAUCACUUGAUGCAUGUGGGUGUCUCUGUUUCAUUUUCCACAAGCACAUGAAUUUGUAAAACGCCGGUCCAUUCAGCCCAAUUUUAUUGGGAUAUGCCAGAUGAAACUUACUUUUGUCAUCCCACAACAAUAGCCCAAAUUACAGCUUUUUAGAAUUUGAAAAUCCUGGAAUUUGGACAAAUGACUUUCCAGUUCAACUGAGAUUUUCUUCUCAAAAAAAAAGUUCUCAACUCCUGUGACCGUUGUCACUUGUCACAAGUAGGGUGCAACUAGCUAGCAUGAAAAAAAUGGCAAAAAACAAAAACAAAAAUCACAAUUAAUUAAUUGGGUCCAGCUAUGGUGCCACAGUUGUGUGGUACCACAGUUGGAUUCAGCCAUUGGAUCUAACUCUGGUGACAACUGUUGACUAGAUCUAAUAGUUGGAUCUAGCUAUGGUACCAUACAACUGUGGUACCAUAAGUUUGUCCUAAUUAUAAAUAUUCCAGAAAAGGAAAAAAGAUGAUCUUGAUCUUACUUUAAUUGAUCUCUCAGUUACACUGACACACAGAAAUAUAAAGACUCAAACUGGGCUUGAACGAGACAGGUCACUGUGGUCCAACAGAAAAAUUUUAUCAUCUGGUAGCAAGUCGUGAUUGUCAUCAAUGGAGUUGAUUCGAAACAAAAAGAUAGGAAGGUUUGAUCCCAACUUGAUUAGUUUUUAGAAACACAAAAGCGUGCUUGAAUCUUGACCUGAAUGGGACGGAUCAGCCUGGCCUGGAGUAACCCCAAGCAAAAUUUUGUCAUCUUUAGUCGUCGGUUACAUUUUGCGUUGUCUCAUUCUCGCAACAAAUAUCCAUAAAUGAAUGGUCGAUAUAUUGCAUGCAUGCAUAAUCGCAUAAGAGGAAAAUAAACCCCAGUUUCCAGUCAAUUACUAGCAAAACAUGUACCGAUUAUGAUCAAUUGAUCAUCGAUCUAUAUCGUCUUGUUUCCCAAAUGGAGUGGGAUAGAAGGAAUCUAGCUCUGUUAGUGAGUUUGUUCACCUAAACGUUACAUGUUGUGAUGACUCUAUAUGUAUAACUUAAUCUAACAUGCCACAUAAAAUCCUAGCUGCCCAAAUAUUCCUUUCUUAAUGAGGCUUUAAUGUGUUAAGCCUUUAAGAAUGUCAAAGCCAGUUGCCUAAACUAGCUUGGUUGUUGGUCAUAUGCAUACCAAAUUUUAAAACCACAUCCUUUCCCAGGUAUUGUCAUUUACUCAUUUUAUUCAAAUUGAUAACCAACCCACCCAAUUUUGAAAGAAAUUUGCAAGGUAUGGGGAAAAGUUGAUGGUUUAUAUCAAUUGUUUUUUAUGAAAUCAAUGGCAAUCCCAUUGAAAGGCUCCCAAAGAGUCAUGUAAAUCACAUAUAUUAAUGAAAACUAUAAAAAAAAAAAAAAAAAAAACUCCUCACAAUGGUGUGUGUGUGUGGAUUCCACGUUGUGCCCCGAAUGUGGUUGGCGUUUAAACAACUAAUACUUCCAUGAAACGCAGGCCAAAUGAAAUUACAAUAAACAAAGACUCGUAGCAAAUUCAACGAGCUUUUGAUGAUUUGAGUUAAUCCACCCGAAUUGAGGCCUAAUUAUGAGGACCUUGAAAAGUGGUUUUGUUGUGUGAUAGCGUCAUGCAUUUUUAUCCACUAACUUCAUUUCCUCCAAACAUGGCCCAUCUUCUUUACAUUCAAUUUUCAUUUUCUGAUCCAAAAAUAUCAUAAAUAUUAAAUAGGCACCAAUAGUUAGGAAAUUUUUUCAUUAUAUUCGUAAUACUUUCAAUAUUUAA
RNAcentral lists this long non-coding RNA (2877 nucleotides) under Citrus x clementina. Its description in RNAcentral is "Citrus clementina (C. clementina) long non-coding RNA (CCLE_LNC001373)". The record is from RNAcentral. Lineage: Eukaryota; Viridiplantae; Streptophyta; Magnoliopsida; Sapindales; Rutaceae.